CCAUUAAAGCGGUACGCGAGCUGGGUUCAGAACGUCGUGAGACAGUUCGGUCCCUAUCCGUCGUGGGCGUAGGAAAUUUGAGAGGAGCUGUCCUUAGUACGAGAGGACCGGGAUGGACAUACCUCUGGUGUACCAGUUGUCGUGCCAACGGCAUAGCUGGGUAGCUAUGUGUGGACGGGAUAAGUGCUGAAAGCAUCUAAGCAUGAAGCCCCCCUCAAGAUGAGAUUUCCCAACUUCGGUUAUAAGAUCCCUCAAAGAUGAUGAGGUUAAUAGGUUCGAGGUGGAAG
RNAcentral lists this ribosomal RNA (287 nucleotides) under Staphylococcus aureus. RNAcentral describes it as "partial 23S ribosomal RNA". It matches the Rfam family "Bacterial large subunit ribosomal RNA", at positions 2585 to 2873 of the family's 2925-position model. The record is from RNAcentral. Lineage: Bacteria; Bacillati; Bacillota; Bacilli; Caryophanales; Staphylococcaceae.